Long non-coding RNA from Oncorhynchus gorbuscha (pink salmon), 447 nucleotides. RefSeq lists it as uncharacterized. The record is from RefSeq and is a predicted model, not a curated record. Lineage: Eukaryota; Metazoa; Chordata; Actinopteri; Salmoniformes; Salmonidae. The transcript is spliced from 3 exons.
AUUCAACUGUAAGAGGUGGGGCAGAAAGAGUAUAAGACAGGACUGCAAGGGGCAGAGAGACACUCGUCUUCUACUGAGGUCCAGAAGACAUCAAGACAACCAGGUAUCAAUCAGUCAGCAUAUUCCAACUAUCAGAGUAAAGGAUGAAGAUCCAGAGUAUGUUACUGCUGUUCGCUCUAGUGGGUGUCCUGUUAGCAAGCUCCCUUAAUGAAGAUAACGCUAAGGAAGAGGAUAGUGCCAUGGAGAAGGUGGAGAAUGGACUUGUGAAUGCCAUUGCAGAAGAUGAAGCACAACGUAUGUACAUAUAGCUAUCUACAUGCAUGCCUCCAUACUUUACAUUUGUGUAUUUUUUAUUUAUUUAACCUUUAUUUAACUAGGCAAGUAAGUUAAGAACAAUCUUACUUUCAAUAACAGCCUAGGAACAGUGGGUAAACUGCCUCGUUCAGG